Long non-coding RNA from Amblyraja radiata (thorny skate), 228 nucleotides. RefSeq lists it as uncharacterized. NCBI's taxonomy places the organism in Eukaryota, Metazoa, Chordata, Chondrichthyes, Rajiformes, Rajidae. The record is from RefSeq and is a predicted model, not a curated record. The transcript is spliced from 3 exons.
CCUAAUUCUACUCCUAUAACUUGUGAACUAGUGACUGAGAGAAACAACAUUUCUGUCCCCUUACGUUCACCUUUGAUCAACUUUCCUUCUCAAAGACAAGUUGAGGGAUAUGACUUGGAGCAACAGAACCCUCAAAUGAUUUAGUGCCCACACAUCAUUUGUUCAAAAUUGCGUUCCCACAGCUAUCAAAUGUCAUAUAACAUAAGCACAUUUCACCGCAAUAAAUUG